GGGAAGCAUUCAGAAAGAGGGGGAAAUAGAAACAAGGUCACGGGGGAGCCGGAGUGAGGGCAGUAUGUUAGUUUUCCUCCCGCUCUGUAACAAGUGGACAUAAACUUGGUGGCUUAAAAAAAAUACAAACUGCCCAAUAGUUCGGUAGGUCAGAAGUCUGACAUGCAUCGUGCUGGGCUAACAGUGACUAGCAGGGCUGUGUCGAUCGCUGAAAGCCCUAAUAGGGAAACAAACAAUGGCCUCUGCUCAUGCGCUUGUGCUGACAUCGCUGGCGUCCUCUCUUCCUUCAUCACGGGCAGCAAGAGAGGCUUGAAGUCUUUUCAUGAUGCCAUAUCAGUUCCAUUUCAAAAGACCCAUGUGGCUAGACUGGACCCUGGAUAAGCUGGCAUGAUUUUCCCAUCUCAAAUGUUCAGCCUUAAUAAUGUCUGCAAAAAAAAAAAUGCUUCUGCUACAGAAGGAUACCCUGUUCUCCAGGUAGAUUAGACUGGACAUUAUGGAGUGGGUAAUGCUGCCUAACACAAAAAAGAAAAAAAAAAAA
This 538-nucleotide long non-coding RNA is filed under the name Rattus norvegicus (Norway rat). RNAcentral's name for it is "long non-coding RNA NONRATT016924". The record is from RNAcentral. Lineage: Eukaryota; Metazoa; Chordata; Mammalia; Rodentia; Muridae.